Molecule: ribosomal RNA, 517 nt
Filed under: uncultured bacterium
Lineage: Bacteria
Description: bacterial SSU rRNA
Rfam family: Bacterial small subunit ribosomal RNA
Source: RNAcentral
ACGACGCUGGCGGCGUGCCUAAUACAUGCAAGUCGAACGGUCUUUUCUAUGGAAGCUUGCUUCCACUGAGAAGAUAGUGGCGAACGGGUGAGUAACACGUGGGUAACCUGCCCAUAAGAGGGGGAUAACAUCCGGAAACGGGUGCUAAUACCGCAUAGUUUUUCUUGAUCGCAUGAUUGAGAAAGGAAAGACGGCCUUUGUGCUGUCGCUUAUGGAUGGACCCGCGGCGUAUUAGUUAGUUGGUGAGGUAACGGCUCACCAAGACGAUGAUACGUAGCCGACCUGAGAGGGUGAUCGGCCACAUUGGGACUGAGACACGGCCCAAACUCCUACGGGAGGCAGCAGUAGGGAAUCUUCCGCAAUGGACGAAAGUCUGACGGAGCAACGCCGCGUGAGUGAAGAAAGGUUUUCGGAUCGUAAAACUCUGUUGUCAGAGAAGAACAAGUUGGAGAGUAACUGCUCCAGCCUUGACGGUAUCUGACCAGAAAGCCACGGCUAACUACGUGCCAGCCGCUGC